UUCGAGGAUAUUAUCUUCCACCGCAUGAGCCCUCGCGCGAGAAUCCUUAGCGUAAGUGAUGGUCCAUUCAUGUUCCUUUCUUACUUAGAUUCUGCACCUUUUCUUACUGAUGAUGAUCUUUACCCCUAUAUGGUUCAUUCGUGUUCCUUUCUUACUUAGAUUCUGCACCUUUUCUUACUGAUGAUGAUCUUUACCCCUAUAUGGUUCAUUCGUGUUCCUUUCUUACUUAGAUUCUGCACCUUUUCUUACUGAUGAUGAUCUUUACCCCUAUAUGGUUCAUUCGUGUUCCUUUCUUACUUAGAUUCUGCACCUUUUCUUACUGAUGAUGAUCUUUACCCCUAUACAACUCACAGGGUGUCUACAAGGCCACUCCUGCUCAGGUUCGAGCUGUCCAGCAGUUUACAAGGAAGCAACUCAAGUUGGACCCAGUGGUGGUGGAUCCUAUCGCCGCCGAAGUUCACCGGGAGUUCACAAGGACUGCAGGCCUGGGAGAGAACGUGAUGUCCGCCAGUGAUGUGGCCAGGAUCCUCAAGAUCAGGGAGGGUAUGUCAAGCCUCCACCCAGAUGAUCAGAAGAAGCUGGAGAUGAUCAAGAUCUUCGUGGACAACAUAAAUGCUGGCUCAGCUAUCUGCACGGCUGGUGGUUCCGUUUUGGGAGGCAUGUGGACUCUUCGCCAUUGGAAUACAAGUUUCCCCAUGUCCGACCUGCCGGAAGAUUGGGUUUGGUAGGGAGGUGCCUUCUGUUUGAUCUCUUGCGCCACUCACAGUUUUGGAGUCCUUAGUCCUUCCUGCAAUACCUUCAUCCUUGUUUUGCGGUUGCUAGUCUGUUCUGCGGUAUCUUCAGUUCUUAUUUUGCAAGUCCUGAUGCUAGAUUUUGCCAGACUGUGUUUUGCAACGGCUGCAACGAAUUAUGCAAGUCAUUCUGCAAUGAUUGGAAGCUACAGUCAUGUGGUGUUAUUAUGAACAUGGGUUCAUGAAAUGGUUUCCUUGAAUGGAAUUUGGUUCAAAAUC
Molecule: long non-coding RNA, 1010 nt
Filed under: Triticum aestivum (bread wheat)
Lineage: Eukaryota; Viridiplantae; Streptophyta; Magnoliopsida; Poales; Poaceae
Description: long non-coding RNA (TAES_LNC011662)
Source: RNAcentral